This 1104-nucleotide long non-coding RNA is filed under the name Canis lupus dingo (dingo). Its description in RNAcentral is "lncRNA (ENSCAFG00020020847.1)". Lineage: Eukaryota; Metazoa; Chordata; Mammalia; Carnivora; Canidae. The record is from RNAcentral.
GACGGCUUUCCUGGAAGCUGUGACCUUUAUCCUCCUGCAGCCGUUAAUCUAAUAUUAAGGCCCUUAACCUUCUUGAUCGCUCUUUCAGCAUCGCUGGUUUCAUAUGAACCCCCCAGGCCUUCCCAUAACGCAGCCCCAGCCAGGGGUGCCCUCCCCGCCCGGGCCUCCCUGCGGCCUGGGGGAGGCUUCCUCCCUUGGCCCUUCCCUCAGGUGCGGGAGGGCACAGCCACCGCAGGCAGCCUCGGGGGACUCCUGUGGCUUCUCUGUCAGCUUUGUUUUCCUUCUCUCCUGAGGAAAACCCGUGGAUGCCGUUUCUGGGGAAAAGACGAAGGCUCUGGCCCGGAGGCCGGAGGCCCAGCCGGGAGCCGCCUGUGUGCCCAUCUCGGGGACCCCGCUGCGCCCUGUGGUGGGGACAGGCGAGGGAGCUGCCUGCCACCUCCAGAAUGGCCAGCUCAGAAAGAGCUGUCACCCCCUGUGACGGGCCACCCGGCCCGCCUCUGUGUCCUGGCCUCUCCCCUCAGCGAUGUGGCUGUUUUUGAAGAGAGCCCUGGGCCCUGGUCUGGGCAGAGCGACCAAGCACCUGAACAUUCACUUUCCGAACCCUUAUUUCGCGGAGAGCGGAGGCCCUGCCUCGAGGGGGGGCUGCAGAGUUCACCCAGAAGUAGAAGAGGUGAGGCCUGGAGACAGGGGCUUCCCACAGCCUCAGCCCAGCCACGCUGGGCAGGACAAGGACGGCCAAGAUUGCUCCCUCGCACAGUACUGGGGUGGCCAGGCUGGGGCAAAGAGGGGGUGGCAGCAGCUUCUUCAAAGUCUGUUCCCACCAGAGGCCCCUCUUCCCAGGGAGUAUGGACCCACGCCAGCUCCGCGCCGGCCCUCCUGCCCUCCUGCCCUCCUGCCCCGGGGGGCUCCAGGCUUGGUGUUGGUUUUGGGCUUUGGCCCGAUGAGGACACCCCCCCAGCACCUCCUCAGACCUUAGGCUGUGAAAAGGCAAGCCCCCCACAUGUCCGGGUCUCCUCUCCCACGGGGCACAUGCACACAGCUCACACCCGGAUGGCUUCUCUGCUUUGUCACGCUUUCCAGGCACAGCUCCCUUUGCACGAGUGA